GACGAACGCUGGCGGCAUGCCUAAUACAUGCAAGUCGAACGCACGAAGUUGAAAAGCUUGCUUUUCGACCAAGUGAGUGGCGGACGGGUGAGUAACACGUGGGUAACCUGCCCAUAAGAGGGGGAUAACAUUCGGAAACGGAUGCUAAUACCGCAUAUUUCAAGUGACCGCAUGGUCGCUUGAUGAAAGGUGGCUUCGGCUACCACUUAUGGAUGGACCCGCGGUGCAUUAGUUAGUUGGUGAGGUAAUGGCUCACCAAGACCAUGAUGCAUAGCCGACCUGAGAGGGUGAUCGGCCACACUGGGACUGAGACACGGCCCAGACUCCUACGGGAGGCAGCAGUAGGGAAUCUUCCGCAAUGGACGAAAGUCUGACGGAGCAAUGCCGCGUGAGUGAAGAAGGUUUUCGGAUCGUAAAACUCUGUUGUUAGAGAAGAACAAGGAUGAGAGUAACUGCUCAUCCCCUGACGGUAUCUAACCAGAAGACCSWYU
RNAcentral lists this ribosomal RNA (491 nucleotides) under uncultured bacterium. Its description in RNAcentral is "bacterial SSU rRNA". It matches the Rfam family "Bacterial small subunit ribosomal RNA", at positions 28 to 496 of the family's 1533-position model. The record is from RNAcentral.